UCCUUUCCUGUGUAAUAUGAGUUUCUCUG
RNAcentral lists this non-coding RNA (29 nucleotides) under Rattus norvegicus (Norway rat). Lineage: Eukaryota; Metazoa; Chordata; Mammalia; Rodentia; Muridae. The record is from RNAcentral.